AUGUGGAUGAGGAUGGAUAGAUGAGGAUGUGGAUGAGGAUGGAUAGAUGAGGAUGUGGAUGAGGAUGGAUAGAUGAGGAUGUGGAUGAGGAUGUAUGGAUGAUGAUUGGAUAGGGGUAUACAUCCAAUGAAUGAAGUUUAUUGGUGUGAUGGACUGUACAAUGAUGUGUGAAUCCUCAAAGCAUAUUAUUUGUUGAAAUUUUGCUAAAAAUGUGAAUUGAUCAGGUGUCUGUUACAUGGUGGUGAUAAAUGUGGAUCAAACACUUAAAUGGUAAUAUAUAUCAUCAGAAUGCAAAUAUAUGUGUAUAAAGAGUUAUACA
This 319-nucleotide long non-coding RNA is filed under the name Physcomitrium patens. Its description in RNAcentral is "long non-coding RNA (PPAT_LNC008578)". The record is from RNAcentral. Lineage: Eukaryota; Viridiplantae; Streptophyta; Bryopsida; Funariales; Funariaceae.